This 187-nucleotide non-coding RNA is filed under the name Oscillospiraceae bacterium. RNAcentral's name for it is "6S RNA". It matches the Rfam family "6S / SsrS RNA". Rfam says of the family: E. coli 6S RNA was the first non coding RNA to be sequenced, but its function was unknown until recently. It consists of 184 nucleotides that fold into an extended hairpin structure with a large single-stranded internal bulge. Lineage: Bacteria; Bacillati; Bacillota; Clostridia; Eubacteriales; Oscillospiraceae. The record is from RNAcentral.
AGCAUUCUGCCUUGUGCGAGCAAGCCUGUUUUGAUAUAAUCCAACACUUAUAUUCAGGGAAUCGCGCUCUGCGUAAAGAUUGCAGACCUCCCGCUUCGGCGGUUGCCAGGGAGCACGAGGUGCGCAGGCAGAUACCCACCUGCUCAAAGCGGGUUUUAUUGCACAGGCGACGGCAAGGCGGAGACUU